Non-coding RNA from Macaca mulatta (Rhesus monkey), 75 nucleotides. Lineage: Eukaryota; Metazoa; Chordata; Mammalia; Primates; Cercopithecidae. The record is from Rfam.
ACCAUGGAAGACCUGCGGGACAAGAGUCUUGGAGUCACCAUUGAGAACUCCAGGAUUGUCUUGCAGAUUGACAAU